Molecule: ribosomal RNA, 558 nt
Filed under: Triticum aestivum (bread wheat)
Lineage: Eukaryota; Viridiplantae; Streptophyta; Magnoliopsida; Poales; Poaceae
Description: partial small subunit ribosomal RNA
Source: RNAcentral
AUGGCUAGGCACUGGUGGAGUAGUUCAGUUGAUCGCAGGUCUCUGCACUGGAUCGACUGGGACUCACUAACUAAGCCAAAGAUUGCAGGAGGGAUGGGGUUUAGAAACCUGGAAAUGUUCAACUUAGCUCUGCUUGGGAAGCACGGGUGGAUGCUGAUUACGAACCCAAAAUCUCUCUGUGCUCGUGUAUUGAAAGGGAAGUACUUUCCCGCCGGCGAAUUCAUGGAUGCAGCUAUUCCGAAGCAUGCUUCAGCUACGUGGAGGGCAAUAGUGGUGGGAAGGGAAGCCUUACAGAUGGGUUUAAUAAAAAGAGUUGGAGAUGGCACGAGUGUUUCGACAUGGAAUGAUAGCUGGAUACCGGGCCUUCUCACACUUCGGCCUUCAGUGCAGACUAGAGAUGCCAUGAUUCCUCGAGUUGCUGAUUUGAUCAAUGCCGAUCAAGGUACGUGGAACAGCGAACUCGUAAGACAAAAUUUUAUAGCCCCUGAAGCAGAUGCAAUUCUGAAUAUUCCAUUGAGCUUCGAAGGAGGGGAUGAUUCAUGGGCUUGGGCUGCAUAA